UUUAAGCAUUUAAGUAGGUGGAGGAAAAGAAACCGAAUGGGAAUCUCUUAGUAAUGGCGAAUGAAAGGAGAUGUGCUUAGUGUCAAAAUCAGAUUACUCUGACUUGUAGGCUGUAGGGGCUUUGCCAACUUGGGUGCAGGUGCAAGUCUCUUGGAAAGGAGCACCAGUGAGGGUCAAGGUCCCGUCUGGCAUCUGUCAUCCCUCGUAGACGGUUUGCCCAUUGAGAGUCGUGUUCUUCUGGAGUAGAGCGCUAAUUGGGUGGUACUCUUUGCCCAAGGAGGAUUACGUGCUUGAGACCAAUAGUGAACAAGUACCAUGAGGGAAGGGUGAAAAGGACUUUGGAAAGAGGGUUAAGAGGGCAUGAAGCUGCUGGAAGGGAAGUGGAUUGGACUUUUACAUCGCAGUAAGAUUGCAGGCUGUGAUUUCCACUCGUGGGACAUCGCGUGCUGUGUCUCUUGCUGCUCGGUUGGGUUUUGCGUUGUGCCCGAAAUCUCAGCUUUGACUGGAAGAAGGUUUGCGAACUGGACCAUGUCAUUGCCAACUUUUGGCGCAGCAUGCAACCUUGACCAAAAGGUUCAAUUUUACCCGUCUUGAAACACGGACCAAGGAGUCUAUUGCGUGUGCAAGUGUAAGGGCUUCACACCUGACAGCUCAACAAAGGUGACUGCUGGGACCUCUGCACCAGCAACCAACUGAUCGCUUAGGAGAUGUUUGUGUAUGAGCACACUUGCUAGGACCCGAAAGGUGGUGAACUAUGCCUGAGAAGGGUGACGUCAGGGGAAACUCUGAUGGAAGCUCGUAGCGCUACUGACGUGCAAAUCGUUCGUCUGACUUGGGUAUAGGGGCGAAAGACUAAUCGAACCAUCUAGUAGCUGGUUCCCUCCGAAGUUUCCCUCAGGAUAGCUGGAGCAGAACAGUUUUAUCAGGUAAAGCGAAUGAUUCGAGGCAUUGGGGGUAUGUUACCCUUGACCCACUCUCAAACUUUUAAUGGGUAAGCUCCACUGGUUGCUUAGGUGACGCAGGGGGAGGAAUAACAGCUCUACGUGGGCCAUUUUUGGUAAGCAGAACUGGCGAUGAGGGAUGAACCUAGCAUUGGGGUAAAGUGCUUGACUGCUCGCUCAUGUGACACCACAAAGGGUGUUGGUUCAUACUGACAGCAGGACGGUGGUCAUGGAAGUUGAAAUCCGCCAAGGAGUGUGUAACAACUCACCUGCCGAAUGGACUAGCCCCGAAAAUGGAUGGCGCUGAAGCGGGUGACUGAUACCCAAUCAUGGCUGCAAGCAUAGUAGCUUUGAGUAGGAGGGCAUGGUGGUUGCAGCGCAGCCCGCUCGUGAGCAAGGGUGAAGGAACUUCCAGUGCAGAUCUUGCGGGGUA
This 1374-nucleotide ribosomal RNA is filed under the name Amphidinium carterae. RNAcentral describes it as "eukaryotic LSU rRNA". It matches the Rfam family "Eukaryotic large subunit ribosomal RNA", at positions 33 to 1459 of the family's 3401-position model. Lineage: Eukaryota; Dinophyceae; Amphidiniales; Amphidiniaceae. The record is from RNAcentral.